UGAGUAACACGUGAGGAACCUGCCCCGAAGACGGGACAACACCGGGAAACCUGGUGCUAAUACCGGAUACCUUCACCGGAUCGCAUGUUCUGGUGAAGAAAUGGAUUCCGCUUCGGGAUGGCCUCGCGGCCUAUCAGCUUGUUGGUGAGGUAACGGCUCACCAAGGCGACGACGGGUAGCUGGUCUGAGAGGAUGUCCAGCCACACUGGGACUGAGACACGGCCCAGACUCCUACGGGAGGCAGCAGUUAGGAAUCUUGCGCAAAUGGACGAAAGUCUGACGCAGCGACGCCGCGUGCGGGGAUGAAGGCCUUCGGGUUGUAAAACCAGGUUUCAGGCAGGGGACGAAAUUUGACGGUACCUUGGCAGA
This 369-nucleotide ribosomal RNA is filed under the name uncultured fungus. RNAcentral describes it as "bacterial SSU rRNA". It matches the Rfam family "Bacterial small subunit ribosomal RNA", at positions 107 to 487 of the family's 1533-position model. The record is from RNAcentral. Lineage: Eukaryota; Fungi.